RNAcentral lists this ribosomal RNA (548 nucleotides) under uncultured bacterium. RNAcentral describes it as "bacterial SSU rRNA". It matches the Rfam family "Bacterial small subunit ribosomal RNA", at positions 355 to 896 of the family's 1533-position model. The record is from RNAcentral.
UGGGGAAUUUUGGACAAUGGGGGCAACCCUGAUCCAGCAAUGCCGCGUGUGUGAAGAAGGCCUUCGGGUUGUAAAGCACUUUUGUCCGGAAAGAAAUCCCUUGCCCUAAUACGGCGGGGGGAUGACGGUACCGGAAGAAUAAGCACCGGCUAACUACGUGCCAGCAGCCGCGGUAAUACGUAGGGUGCGAGCGUUAAUCGGAAUUACUGGGCGUAAAGCGUGCGCAGGCGGUUUUGUAAGACAGGCGUGAAAUCCCCGAGCUCAACUUGGGAAUGGCGCUUGUGACUGCAAGGCUAGAGUAUGUCAGAGGGGGGUAGAAUUCCACGUGUAGCAGUGAAAUGCGUAGAGAUGUGGAGGAAUACCGAUGGCGAAGGCAGCCCCCUGGGACGUCACUGACGCUCAUGCACGAAAGCGUGGGGAGCAAACAGGAUUAGAUACCCUGGUAGUCCACGCCCUAAACGAUGUCAACUAGUUGUUGGGGAUUCAUUUCUUCAGUAACGUAGCUAACGCGUGAAGUUGACCGCCUGGGGAGUACGGUCGCAAGAUUA